Molecule: ribosomal RNA, 450 nt
Filed under: uncultured Glomus
Lineage: Eukaryota; Fungi; Glomeromycota; Glomeromycetes; Glomerales; Glomeraceae
Description: SSU rRNA
Rfam family: Eukaryotic small subunit ribosomal RNA
Source: RNAcentral
AGCAGCCGCGGUAAUUCCAGCUCCAAUAGCGUAUAUUAAAGUUGUUGCAGUUAAAAAGCUCGUAGUUGAAUUUCGGGAUCAAUAUUUCGGUCAUGCCGUUGGUAUGCACUGUUAUCAUUGAUUUCUCACCUUCUAAAGAACCGUAAUGCCAUUAAUUUGGUGUUACGGGGAAUUAGGACUGUUACCUUGAAAAAUUAGAGUGUUUAAAGCAGGCUCACGCUUGAAUACAUUAGCAUGGAAUAAUGAAAUAGGACGUUCGAUCUUAUUUUGUUGGUUUCUAGGAUUGACGUAAUGAUUAAUAGGGAUAGUUGGGGGCAUUAGUAUUCAAUUGUCAGAGGUGAAAUUCUUGGAUUUAUUGAAGACUAACCACUGCGAAAGCAUUUGCCAAGGAUGUUUUCAUUAAUCAAGAACGAAAGUUAGGGGAUCGAAGACGAUCAGAUACCGUCGUAG